UGGGCUGUGGCUCAGUGGUAGAGUACUUGUCUCUCCCACGUGAGGCACUGGGUUCGAUUCUCAGCACCGCAU
RNAcentral lists this transfer RNA (72 nucleotides) under Ictidomys tridecemlineatus (thirteen-lined ground squirrel). Its description in RNAcentral is "Spermophilus tridecemlineatus (thirteen-lined ground squirrel) tRNA". It matches the Rfam family "tRNA". From Rfam's summary of the family: Transfer RNA (tRNA) molecules are approximately 80 nucleotides in length. Lineage: Eukaryota; Metazoa; Chordata; Mammalia; Rodentia; Sciuridae. The record is from Rfam by way of RNAcentral.